UCUUCCCCCGGGUUUCUCCCUGGCUGGCUGCAUUCUGGGUAUUGUUCGCUCUGGUUCUCAUUGCUGCUGGAGCUUGUGCAUAUCUUGGAUACACAGCGAAGCAAAAGGCCUCUCAGAAGAAACGCUCUAAAGAGGAGGCUCUGUCACUUCUUGAGACUGAGAAGAUGACCUGGGAAUCAG
Long non-coding RNA from Terrapene triunguis (Three-toed box turtle), 180 nucleotides. RefSeq lists it as uncharacterized. Lineage: Eukaryota; Metazoa; Chordata; Testudines; Emydidae. The transcript is spliced from 3 exons. The record is from RefSeq and is a predicted model, not a curated record.